RNAcentral lists this ribosomal RNA (253 nucleotides) under uncultured bacterium. Its description in RNAcentral is "partial 16S ribosomal RNA". It matches the Rfam family "Bacterial small subunit ribosomal RNA", at positions 524 to 776 of the family's 1533-position model. The record is from RNAcentral.
UACGUAGGGUGCGAGCGUUAAUCGGAAUUACUGGGCGUAAAGCGUGCGCAGGCGGUUUUGUAAGUCAGAUGUGAAAUCCCCGGGCUCAACCUGGGAACUGCGUUUGAAACUACAAGGCUAGAGUAUGGCAGAGGGGGGUAGAAUUCCACGUGUAGCAGUGAAAUGCGUAGAGAUGUGGAGGAAUACCGAUGGCGAAGGCAGCCCCCUGGGAUAACACUGACGCUCAUGCACGAAAGCGUGGGGAGCAAACAGG